This 538-nucleotide long non-coding RNA is filed under the name Trifolium pratense (red clover). RNAcentral's name for it is "long non-coding RNA (TPRA_LNC004975)". Lineage: Eukaryota; Viridiplantae; Streptophyta; Magnoliopsida; Fabales; Fabaceae. The record is from RNAcentral.
ACCACAAACCAAAACAAAUUGGACAACUUACACAAUACAAUUAGUUCUAAUCAUAUUUUAAUGUAUAUAACAACAGAAGAUAUGUAGUUCAACAAUAGUCCCAUGCUUGAGAGUUCCUUCAUGAAACAAAAAACAAAAUUUUCUUGGUUGAGAAAAUGAAACUUUUAAAGCAGUCUUUUUUUUUCAUUAAGACUAAAAAAAUCUGCAGUACCUCAAUUUGUAAACAAAAUAGAAGAACUUCAAAUUUAGAUUUCAAUGAUUUAUCUAUGUAUUAAAAUGCUAACAGUCAUAAGAGUUUACUAUAUCAAUGUCAGAGAGUGGGGAAUGUAAAAUAUUUUACUCACAAUAAUACACGUGCUCAAAGGAAACAUGUUAAUUUUGCUCCACCAUCUUCUUAGUUACCAUCCUUUGAACUCAAACCUGCAAUCUUAGACAAUGAGGGUGUCAAAAAAUAGCACUUAACAUUGUAAAACAUUAAUAUGAGGUUAGUCUAAUUCUCUUGGAAAUUCAAGCUCUAGUCUUGGAAAAAAUAGCUAAA